UGGGGAAUUUUGGACAAUGGGCGAAAGCCUGAUCCAGCAAUGCCGCGUGUGUGAAGAAGGCCUUCGGGUUGUAAAGCACUUUUGUCCGGAAAGAAAUCCUUGGCUCUAAUACAGUCGGGGGAUGACGGUACCGGAAGAAUAAGCACCGGCUAACUACGUGCCAGCAGCCGCGGUAAUACGUAGGGUGCAAGCGUUAAUCGGAAUUACUGGGCGUAAAGCGUGCGCAGGCGGUUUGCUAAGACCGAUGUGAAAUCCCCGGGCUCAACCUGGGAACUGCAUUGGUGACUGGCAGGCUAGAGUAUGGCAGAGGGGGGUAGAAUUCCACGUGUAGCAGUGAAAUGCGUAGAGAUGUGGAGGAAUACCGAUGGCGAAGGCAGCCCCCUGGGCCAAUACUGACGCUCAUGCACGAAAGCGUGGGGAGCAAACAGGAUUAGAUACCCUGGUAGUCCACGCCCUAAACGAUGUCAACUAGUUGUGGGAUUCAUUCUUAGUAACGUAGCUAACGCGUGAAGUUGACCGCCUGGGGAGUACGGUCGCAAGAUUAAAACUCAAAGGAAUUGACGGGGUC
This 568-nucleotide ribosomal RNA is filed under the name uncultured bacterium. Its description in RNAcentral is "partial 16S ribosomal RNA". It matches the Rfam family "Bacterial small subunit ribosomal RNA", at positions 355 to 920 of the family's 1533-position model. The record is from RNAcentral.